RNAcentral lists this ribosomal RNA (200 nucleotides) under uncultured bacterium. Its description in RNAcentral is "partial 16S ribosomal RNA". It matches the Rfam family "Bacterial small subunit ribosomal RNA", at positions 328 to 539 of the family's 1533-position model. The record is from RNAcentral.
ACGCUCGACACCUACGGGAGGCAGCAGUGGGGAAGUAUUGCACAAUGGGGGAAACCCGUGAUGCAGCGACGCCGCGUGGAGGAAGAAGGUCUUCGGAUUGUAAACUCCUGUUGUUGGGGAAACAGAGGAUGGUACCCAACAAGGAAGUGACGGCUAACUACGUACCAGCAGCCGCGGUAAUCUGAGCGGGCUGGCAAGGC